GACGAACGCUGGCGGCGUGCUUAACACAUGCAAGUCGAGCGGAAAGGCCACUUCGGUGGUACUCGAGCGGCGAACGGGUGAGUAACACGUGAGUAAUCUGCCCCUGGCUUUGGGAUAGCCACCGGAAACGGUGAUUAAUACCGGAUAUGACAUGGACUCGCAUGGGUUUGUGUGGAAAGUUUUUCGGCCAGGGAUGUGCUCGCGGCCUAUCAGCUUGAUGGUGAGGUAAUGGCUCACCAUGGCUUCGACGGGUAGCCGGCCUGAGAGGGUGACCGGCCACACUGGGACUGAGACACGGCCCAGACUCCUACGGGAGGCAGCAGUGGGGAAUAUUGGACAAUGGGCCGAAGCUUGAUCCAGCAACGCCGCGUGAGGGAUGACGGCUUCGGGUUGUAAACCUCUUUCAGUACCGACGAAGCGAAAGUGACGGUAGGUACAGAAGAAGCACCGGCUAACUACGUGC
Molecule: ribosomal RNA, 463 nt
Filed under: actinomycete S23331
Lineage: Bacteria; Bacillati; Actinomycetota; Actinomycetes; Actinomycetales
Description: bacterial SSU rRNA
Rfam family: Bacterial small subunit ribosomal RNA
Source: RNAcentral